Molecule: long non-coding RNA, 847 nt
Organism: Paramormyrops kingsleyae
Lineage: Eukaryota; Metazoa; Chordata; Actinopteri; Osteoglossiformes; Mormyridae
Source: RefSeq, a predicted model, not a curated record
CAGAAACCUCAGCUCGCAACACAGGAAGUCCCUUGCGCGCUGCACGGCGAAUAGAGAGCCGAGUGCGACCUUAGGCGUCUUUGCUGAGUCAGCGGGAGCUGUUCCUGAGAGCUGAGGACCUCCUCAUCAUUCUCGACGACGUCGCCACCACCGACCUGAGCUUCGACCCGGAGUACACAUCUACUGUGGAAGCCUAGCAAGUCGGCUGGGAGAGGCGGUGACGAGGAAUCCAGGGUGGCUGCAUCCCAGGACAAGGAGAACCUGAACGCCGGAGCUUGUGGCUGAACCUCCAAGAUGACACUUCCGACAAUUCAUCACUGGGGGCAGUAAGCGGUAAAGAGAGCACAUUCCAGGCAUGGGAGGUGAACCGCUGCAUUUACCUUCUGUCACGAUGCCAAGUCCUGGUUUGGGAGCCGAGCUGAAUCACAAACUCAGUAAAGUACCAGAUGACUUUGCAGGAAUGUGGUUUUCUGAGCAUUUUUUCCCUGGAAAACUAGUCAAGACCAUAUUUUAAUCUGUGAUCACUGGCGUAUAAUUAUAGAUUUACCAGACGUAAGUUCUAGCAACCCUGUGUUUAUUUACACUUUGGUUCAGGUCUGGACGUUGAAGGCUCAUUGGUCUUGCUCUGUAUGCAACUUUCAGAUCUGUUUAAAUCUAGGUUUUGUGGUUUUAUCUCUUCUUAUUUAUUCUGACACACAUUUGAGGAGCUGGAAUUUAACCUUUGGUUAAGUUGCAAACAUUUGAGUCCUAUGCUGGGGGGUACGACGUGCUUUUACUUGCUGUGAAGUCAAAAAAUGAAGUAUUUACUGUACAGUAACAGGCCAUGAUUAAACUGAAAUGCCUUUAA